This 400-nucleotide ribosomal RNA is filed under the name uncultured beta proteobacterium. Its description in RNAcentral is "bacterial SSU rRNA". It matches the Rfam family "Bacterial small subunit ribosomal RNA", at positions 1 to 405 of the family's 1533-position model. The record is from RNAcentral. Lineage: Bacteria; Pseudomonadati; Pseudomonadota; Betaproteobacteria.
UAGAGUUUGAUCCUGGCUCAGAUUGAACGCUGGCGGCAGGCCUAACACAUGCAAGUCGAACGGUGGCACAGAGAGCUUGCUCUCGGGUGACGAGUGGCGGACGGGUGAGUAAUGCCUGGGAAACUGCCUGAUGGAGGGGGAUAACUACUGGAAACGGUAGCUAAUACCGCAUAACGUCGCAAGACCAAAGAGGGGGACCUUCGGGCCUCUUGCCAUCAGAUGUGCCCAGAUGGGAUUAGCUAGUAGGUGGGGUAAUGGCUCACCUAGGCGACGAUCCCUAGCUGGUCUGAGAGGAUGACCAGCCACACUGGAACUGAGACACGGUCCAGACUCCUACGGGAGGCAGCAGUGGGGAAUAUUGCACAAUGGGCGCAAGCCUGAUGCAGCCAUGCCGCGUGUA